This 764-nucleotide ribosomal RNA is filed under the name bacterium enrichment culture clone ADE_57. RNAcentral's name for it is "bacterial SSU rRNA". It matches the Rfam family "Bacterial small subunit ribosomal RNA", at positions 1 to 766 of the family's 1533-position model. The record is from RNAcentral.
UAGAGUUUGAUCCUGGCUCAGAUUGAACGCUGGCGGCAUGCUUUACACAUGCAAGUCGAACGGCAGCGCGGGCUUCGGCCUGGCGGCGAGUGGCGAACGGGUGAGUAAUAUAUCGGAACGUACCCAAGAGUGGGGGAUAACGUAGCGAAAGUUACGCUAAUACCGCAUACGAUCCAAGGAUGAAAGCAGGGGACCGCAAGGCCUUGUGCUCCUGGAGCGGCCGAUAUCUGAUUAGCUAGUUGGUGAGGUAAAGGCUCACCAAGGCAACGAUCAGUAGCUGGUCUGAGAGGACGACCAGCCACACUGGAACUGAGACACGGUCCAGACUCCUACGGGAGGCAGCAGUGGGGAAUUUUGGACAAUGGGGGCAACCCUGAUCCAGCAAUGCCGCGUGAGUGAAGAAGGCCUUCGGGUUGUAAAGCUCUUUUGUCAGGGAAGAAAAGGGAGUGGCUAAUAUCCAUUCCUGCUGACGGUACCUGAAGAAUAAGCACCGGCUAACUACGUGCCAACAGCCGCGGUAAUACGUAGGGUGCAAGCGUUAAUCGGAAUUACUGGGCGUAAAGCGUGCGCAGGCGGUUUUGUAAGACAGGCGUGAAAUCCCCGAGCUCAACUUGGGAAUGGCGCUUGUGACUGCAAGGCUAGAGUAUGUCAGAGGGGGGUAGAAUUCCACGUGUAGCAGUGAAAUGCGUAGAGAUGUGGAGGAAUACCGAUGGCGAAGGCAGCCCCCUGGGACGUCACUGACGCUCAUGCACGAAAGCGUGGGG